UGCCUAAAAUCACACUGCUAAUAAGCGUCUAAAAUCUCUGACUACAGGACUCAUCUACUGCUCUACCUAGCUGCUCUAAAGAAAUGAAAGCAGAGAUCAUUUAGUCUGACUCAUUUUAAAGAUUAGGAAAUGGAGGAUCAGAAGGAUUAAAUGAUUUUCUCAAGGUUACCAGGUAGAAAAAGAAGCAGAGUCAGAAAAUAGUUCAUUCCAAGGCUCUUUCCACUGUUCCAGCCUGGGAUUCAAAGAAGCUCCAGUUUCAGCCCCAGCUUUGCUAGUAACUAGUUGAACAACCCUGGACAAAUCUCUUUUUCUGAAGGAGCUUCAGAUUUCUGUAAAGUGAGAAGGUUCAAUCAAAUUGGAUUCAGCAGACCUGUAUUAAGUGUCAACUAUAGACAAGGCACUGUAAAAAGUAAUCGAAUUUCUGUAACCCUGUACAGAUUAAAGGAUAAUGUCACCACAACCACCCUGUGAGCUUUCUCAUAGAACAGCAAAACAAAUUUUUAUACUGGCCAUGGCCCAUCCCAUCUUAUUCUGGAUUUUAAGGUUCCCUCACCAACCUCCAUCAGCAGACACUUGUGCAUGAAGAUUUAAGUGGAAAAGUCGGUGCACAGAGACAGUCCCACUCUCUCGGCAUUGGAAGCCUGGGUCCAGUGGCACGAAAAGUCGUUACACCUGGA
This 677-nucleotide long non-coding RNA is filed under the name Monodelphis domestica (gray short-tailed opossum). RNAcentral describes it as "lncRNA (ENSMODG00000049186.1)". Lineage: Eukaryota; Metazoa; Chordata; Mammalia; Didelphimorphia; Didelphidae. The record is from RNAcentral.